Molecule: non-coding RNA, 4985 nt
Organism: Macaca mulatta (Rhesus monkey)
Lineage: Eukaryota; Metazoa; Chordata; Mammalia; Primates; Cercopithecidae
Source: RefSeq, a predicted model, not a curated record
GCUAGGAGUCUAAAAGCAUUUUCCUUUAGGCCAGGAAUCAGCAAACUUUUCCUUAAAGGCCCAGAUAUGGUCAGAUGAUAUUUGUCAUAACUACUCACCCCUGCCAUUGGAGCUCUAGAGCAGCCAGAGACAAUACAUAAACAAAGGGGCAUGGCUGAGUUCCAGUAAAACUGUGUAUUUACAAAAAGCCGGCCAGGCUGUACAGCAGUCUGUACUUAGCUGAUUCCUGCUUUAGACAAAGACACAUCUUGGUAAAUCAGCUCUCUUCAUUGAUAGGCCAGUCUCUAUUCAUCCCCUCUCCCAAUUGCCAAAAACAAAAUUCUAGAAGAGUGAAUGCAAACCUAGCAAAAUUAUAGAUCAUUAGCUUCUCUGCCUGCAUGUACAUUGGGGGCAUUCCUUACUCAAUGUGGCCCUUGAGUAAGUUGUGAUUUGCACGGGUGAGGUAGAGAGAGAAAUCCUGCUAUCCGGCACUGUCUUGCUAAUGAGUCUUGAGCACAUUAUCUGUAGCUUUGGAGUAUCCUCUAGAGGUUUCUAAUAGGCAGAAUGAUCUACUUCUGAAGCCUCUUUUCUCUAUACCAUUAAGUUCUUUGGCACUGACGAUGAAUUUCCUGUGGCAUUUUUUACUUUUAUCUGCUAUUCUGAAAGUCAACAGACUGACACAGUUAUUAAAAUAACUGCCAAUAUUAUAAGGUCCAGGCCCUAAUUUCCUGCCAUCUAAAGCAGUAAUACUCAAUUAGGGGUAGUUUGCUUGCUCUGGAGACACUCGGUUGUUGUAACCAGGAGUAGGGGGGUGCUACUGGCAUCAGGUAAGCAGAGGCCAAAGAUGUGACCCAGAAUCUUUCAAUACACAAGAUAACCCCCUGUAACAAAGAAUUAGCCAGUCCAAAAUAUCAGUAGUGCUGAGGUUGAGAAACCAUGAUUUAGACUCUUCUACUGAACUUUUAAUCCACCUCGUACUCUACUGAGAAACCAGUAUCGCUAAACCAUCACUUUUCUCCUUCACUCCUAAACUCCAGUAGCUCCUCAUCCCCCGGAGAGACUAAGUCUGUCCUUGUCAUCCUGGCAUUUAGAUCUGGGGAUUUUGCCCACAUACAUAUUCAGACUCUGCUUCUUUCAAGUUUUUAUCUGCACCGCCCUCGGCACUACCAUACUUUUAACUCAUGUUACCCCGCAAACACACAUUUUGGGAAGAUUACCCCACCUCUCUCCUCAGAUCCAAAUCUUACUCAUUCUUUGAGGCCCACGCAUGCUGCAUGCCCCUGUACCAUUGAGUCUGCCCGUACCACUGCCUUUUGUAGUUACACGGGCUCACCCAUCUUACACUGUUACAUUGCUAUUCUGUCUACCUCGCCUCCUCAGUUACUCCCUGAAGGGGUCCGUAUUGUAUUUCUGGCCUAUUGAUCUCAGUUUACACAGCGUAAAGUGUGAAAAGUGUAUUGGUGUAUUGAGAUUCUCUUCAAUGAGAUAAUGAGUAUAAAAAGCACCCUAUAUAGUGCCUGGUACACAAUUAAGUGCUCAGAAAAUUAUAGUGUCAUAGUAUCUAUAGAAGCAUGAAUUCGGGACCCCAUAGAAGGUGCUUAAUAAAUUGUUUAAAUGUAGUUAUAUAUUGGAGAGAGCAUGCCACACAGACUAGUCUGGUAUUUGGAACUAACAGCAAAGAAAAACUGCCAUAGAAAUCCUACACCAAUUAACACGCCUUCAUGCUAGACUGAAUCCAGGAGCAGGGGUGUCAUGUUUUCCCAGAGUGGUGCCCAACCCAACCUUUCUGCAUUUAGCAAGUUAAUGAACAGCUUGUGAAUAACUCUUUGCCCACUCUGGCUCAAUUUAGAAGGCCACCAACAGGAUAUAAAUAUGCCACACUGUCUGCUUUCCUGGAGACCCUGCUGUCCUCUCCCUAAGUGCUUCUGCUUUCAGUCGGUGGAGAGUCUGAUGUGCCUAGAGAAGUUGCACAGUGGGAUGAGGCUGCAGCGAGGGCCUGGCCUUUCCCCAGGCGGAAGAGAGCCUUGUCUCAGAUCCUGAGAGAAAAGUGAGUGGGGGCAUGGCAUUCCGAGCAGCCCAGGUUUGGCUUUGGGCCAAGCACUGAGUGGCAAACAAGAAGGAACACAUUCCGGGAAGGCAAGGAGCCCUGCCAGCACGAAGGCAGCAGCAAAAGCAGGGCCCUGCUGGGUGCCAGGUGUUCCUUGGCUCUGUGGAGGUCAGGCAUGCAGGGGGAUGAACUCAGGUUUCUCUAGAAUAUCAUUUGAGAGGCUUAAGUGCCUCCCGCCCUCUCCCUGUCAGCAGACAGAGCAUGUGGAACUGUUAAACAUUAAAACGCUCUGCUCUGGGGUCCAGCCCAUGCUCUCUAAAUAAAGGCAGGAGCGGAAAGAGUGUUGUUGCCAUCAUGAAAUCACACUUCACAGGAGCCAGAUUUCGGUAAUUCUGUGUCUAAGAGAAAAUGCUACUCCAAACAAGGGCAGGUUGGAGAAGAGCCUGGGAUUUCUAUGCCCUAGAAGCUGCGCUCUCCACCGUUGCAGCCCAGAAACACAAACAAACACACUUGUUCUCCACGCCUGCCUUCCUAGUGGCCAGAGCUGGGGGAAGCCUGGAGAGCCCUUGAAACGUCCUUUCACAAUCAGCGCUGGCCCUUCCCCAGGUGAUGAGAGAAGAGGGAGAGGAGGACCAAAGCGGAAGCGGAUAGAGCCAUUCUUUUCGGGGGAAAUGGCCACACAAGCCUUCCUGAAGAUUCCCUUCUUCUGUUGGAUAGCAAGGACCAGGGAGAAGUGCUGAAGCAAGAAGGGUUAUUUUCCUAAAAAAGACUGAUGAAAGGGUGAAAGGGGCUGUUUCAAAAAAAAAAAAAAAGGAUGGCCGUUCAUGGAAGAGUGAGUUUCACCUGAGACAUACAGAUUUGGUGCAAGCAACACAAAAGGCCAGGCUGUUUCAUCCUAUAAACUGGGAUGGAGAGAGCAUGAAGAGACCACUUACUGGUAGUCCCUCCGGUCCUCAUUUGGGUUUGUCAUAAACAGGACAGACAGUCGUCUGCUCCACAAUAAAUAAUUUCCACCUGGAUUUCAUUCCCUGAUUAAUCUCUCAGUGUCUGAAGAGGGGAAAACAGUGGCUGUUUCUGACACUGCCCACCCCAUCUCCAGCAACUUUCCCUGAUACUUCUGGGCUCCUCACUAAGGCCCUUCCAGAACCUCCAAAGCCACUAUCUUAGCAGAUGGGAGUCCCAGGGUGAUGAGGCCAGAGUUGUGGGGCACAGAGAAGAAGAGAAGGCCUUGAUAGAGGAAGAGGAAUAUCCAAGGCAAAACCGCCACUAUGUCCAAGCUCCUCAUCCUCUACCUUUCCUGUCCCCAGAGGUAUGAGAUAGACCCCCUGGCCUGGUUCCUGCACUGUUCCAGGCCCACAGUGGAUACUUCCACCUUAAUGGAGAAUAGGCCCCAUGGACUGGAGGUCCCUCCUCCAUGGCCUGCAACCCAGUGACUACAGGGGUGACACAGUGACCUCUGCCCUGUGAUGGCUCAACACCAUCACACGCAGCUGCCCAGACAGGCCCCCCGAAUGGGCUGCUGUUGGCCAUGCCUGAGAUCUGGGCAGGUAGGCAGGGAGUAGACGGCAAGACCUCAGAUGCAAGCCUCCACCCUCCCCUUCCCUAUUUCCAGGGCUUGGGACACCUUAGACAUGUUUGAACACACAAGGGCAAAACCCAGUACCAGGUUUGUGACCACAGUGAUCAAAGGCCCUGCUCCACCUGUCUCACCAGAAAGUGACAGCUGAGGACACAGCAUUUGGGUACCUCUGUUCUUCACAGCCCCUGCCACCAUCCCCACCAUAGGCAACAUCUCCCCGUAAUGCAGCCAGCCACCUCAUGAGUGGCCGGCACAGAGCCCCGGCCCAGAGCAUGGAAAUUCAUCUCUGGCUGGAAUCCUGGCCGUGAGCCCUCCCCUCUGCAUUCACGGCUUCUCAGCAGGCCCCUGCCCAAGCCUGACAGGUGCCUGGCUGCCCGCAGAGAAGCCCUGUGGGAACACAUGAGUGUUGGGAGAGAGCAGAGCCCACAUGGGUGAUUUGUGUUCUGACCUCUGACCUCACCAUGGGGGUGAGCUGUGUGGCAGAGCCACAUUCCAAAUAUGAAAGCAUGGCCUCUGUCCCUUGAGGUGGCCUCCAGUGUGCUGCCUGUGUGCCAGAACUGUUUCCAAGGACCCAGUUUGUUGUGGGUUUUUUUUUUUUCUCAUUUAAGUGGUUGCUGAAGCUUUGUGUACAGAAUUCCUCAGUUGGUUCCAAAAACUCUGGCUUUUUGUUUGAGUCCAAAAAUCGUAGAAGCCAGUUACUUUGUAAAUAGGUACUUCAGAUCUCUCAUAGAGGGAGGAGAAGAGCUGCGGGGAGGAGGAGGGAUCUGGAAUGUUUUCCUUCAUAGGCAGUCUUAGCGCAGCAGCACUGUAAACCACAUUGGUGGAGACUUAGCACCCAGAACAUUCUUCUUGAAGAAGGAAUGGGGACAAAGGCCAAGUGGCUGUUACCUGCACACAGGAAAGACGUCCACAUCAAGGAAAGGGCCCAGAAGGCAGACAGACAUGGGCAGAAGGGCCAGUGAUAACUUUAUUUCCCCCAAGAGUGGGCCUGGGUGGGACGAUGUACCCUGCAUGCUGCCCAACCUUGCUUAGGGUCAGAAGUCAGCUCAAAACAGGACCAAGUCCAGCCAGGCAGCCUGGCCUGAGGUUCUUGGCCCCUGUCCUCAACCCUCAAUAUCAGAAGUAUUAGGAAGAGAAAAGGCCUCACCUGUGCCCAGGGACUGGGCCGUUCCAACUCAAGGUGCAUAACUGCUGCUCUAGCCGAGAAAUACGGAACGCCAGAUAGGAUGAGGACAUGACCAGGAAGCAGAUCCUGGAGAAAGGGACAAUACGGAAUUGAAUAUUUCUUCCACAGAAAGAGCAUUUCUGGAAGUUCACCACAAACAGUGGGAACCAAGCUACCCCUGCAGUUGGAAGAAUUAAAGAGCCCUUUGUCCUGCA